GAGGGGGUUUUCCCUUGCUCAGAUUGAACGCUGGCGGCAGGCUUAACACAUGCAAGUCGAGCGGUAACAGGGGAAGCUUGCUUCUCGCUGACGAGCGGCGGACGGGUGAGUAAUGCAUAGGAAUCUGCCCGGUAGUGGGGGAUAACCUGGGGAAACCCAGGCUAAUACCGCAUACGUCCUACGGGAGAAAGAGGGCUCCGGCUCUCGCUAUCGGAUGAGCCUAUGUCGGAUUAGCUGGUUGGUGAGGUAACGGCUCACCAAGGCGACGAUCCGUAGCUGGUCUGAGAGGAUGAUCAGCCACAUCGGGACUGAGACACGGCCCGAACUCCUACGGGAGGCAGCAGUGGGGAAUAUUGGACAAUGGGGGCAACCCUGAUCCAGCCAUGCCGCGUGUGUGAAGAAGGCCUUAGGGUUGUAAAGCACUUUCAGCGAGGAAGAACGCCUGGCGGUUAAUACCCGCCAGGAAAGACAUCACUCGCAGAAGAAGCACCGGCUAACUCCGUGCCAGCAGCCGCGGUAAUACGGAGGGUGCAAGCGUUAAUCGGAAUUACUGGGCGUAAAGCGCGCGUAGGUGGCUUGAUAAGCCGGUUGUGAAAGCCCCGGGCUCAACCUGGGAACGGCAUCCGGAACUGUCAGGCUAGAGUGCAGGAGAGGAAGGUAGAAUUCCCGGUGUAGCGGUGAAAUGCGUAGAGAUCGGGAGGAAUACCAGUGGCGAAGGCGGCCUUCUGGACUGACACUGACACUGAGGUGCGAAAGCGUGGGUAGCAAACAGGAUUAGAUACCCUGGUAGUCCACGCCGUAAACGAUGUCGACCAGCCGUUGGGUGCCUAGCGCACUUUGUGGCGAAGUUAACGCGAUAAGUCGACCGCCUGGAGACGCGCACG
RNAcentral lists this ribosomal RNA (884 nucleotides) under Vreelandella aquamarina. RNAcentral's name for it is "bacterial SSU rRNA". It matches the Rfam family "Bacterial small subunit ribosomal RNA", at positions 9 to 873 of the family's 1533-position model. The record is from RNAcentral. Lineage: Bacteria; Pseudomonadati; Pseudomonadota; Gammaproteobacteria; Oceanospirillales; Halomonadaceae.